UUAGGUUUUUUAGAUUAAUAGGGAAAUCGGUGAAAGUCCGAUACAGCCCCCGCUACUGUAAGUGAGACGAAAUCAACUUAUGCCACUGAGUUCUUCUUGGGAAGGCGUUGAGAGUAGGAUGAACACAAGUCAGGAGACCUGCCUAAUAGUUU
RNAcentral lists this non-coding RNA (152 nucleotides) under human gut metagenome. The record is from RNAcentral.